This 507-nucleotide ribosomal RNA is filed under the name uncultured bacterium. RNAcentral's name for it is "bacterial SSU rRNA". It matches the Rfam family "Bacterial small subunit ribosomal RNA", at positions 28 to 529 of the family's 1533-position model. The record is from RNAcentral.
GACAAACGCUGGCGGGGUGCGUGAGACAUGCAAGUCGAACGAGGUGCCAUCGGGCUUGCUCGAUGGCUACCUAGUGGCGGACGGCUGAGUAACGCGUAGGUGACCUACCCGGAAGUGGGGAAUAACUGCCCGAAAGGGUGGCUAAUACCGCAUACGGUCGACGAUUCGUUUCGUCGUCCAAAGGAGCAAUUCGCUUCCGGAGGGGCCUGCGUCCGAUUAGCUAGUUGGUGGGGUAACGGCNCACCAAGGCGACGAUCGGUAGCUGGUCUGAGAGGAUGAUCAGCCAGACUGGGACUGAGAACGGCCCAGACUCCUACGGGAGGCAGCAGUCGGGAAUUUUGGGCAAUGGGCGCAAGCCUGACCCAGCAACGCCGCGUGAAGGAUGAAGUUUUUCGGAAUGUAAACUUCACAAGAGUGGGAAGAAUAAGUCCUGGCUAACAUCCAGGACGAUGACGGUACCAUUUGUAAGCUCCGGCUAACUCCGUGCCAGCAGCCGGGUAACACCAG